CCUACGGGGGGCAGCAGUGGGGAAUAUUGGACAAUGGGGGGAACCCUGAUCCAGCCAUGCCGCGUGUGUGAAGAAGGCCCUCGGGUUGUAAAGCACUUUCAGUGAGGAAGAACGCCUGGUGGUUAAUACCCAUCAGGAAAGACAUCACUCACAGAAGAAGCACCGGCUAACUCCGUGCCAGCAGCCGCGGUAAUACGGAGGGUGCGAGCGUUAAUCGGAAUUACUGGGCGUAAAGCGCGCGUAGGUGGCUUGAUAAGCCGGUUGUGAAAGCCCCGGGCUCAACCUGGGAACGGCAUCCGGAACUGUCAAGCUAGAGUGCAGGAGAGGAAGGUAGAAUUCCUGGUGUAGCGGUGAAAUGCGUAGAGAUCGGGAGGAAUACCAGUGGCGAAGGCGGCCUUCUGGACUGACACUGACACUGAGGUGCGAAAGCGUGGGUAGCAAACAGGAUUAGAUACCCCUGUAGUC
RNAcentral lists this ribosomal RNA (465 nucleotides) under Vreelandella stevensii. RNAcentral's name for it is "partial 16S ribosomal RNA". It matches the Rfam family "Bacterial small subunit ribosomal RNA", at positions 338 to 795 of the family's 1533-position model. Lineage: Bacteria; Pseudomonadati; Pseudomonadota; Gammaproteobacteria; Oceanospirillales; Halomonadaceae. The record is from RNAcentral.